This 447-nucleotide ribosomal RNA is filed under the name uncultured bacterium. RNAcentral describes it as "partial 16S ribosomal RNA". It matches the Rfam family "Bacterial small subunit ribosomal RNA", at positions 29 to 523 of the family's 1533-position model. The record is from RNAcentral.
AACGAACGCUGGCGGCAUGCCUAACACAUGCAAGUCGAACGAGAUCUUCGGGUCUAGUGGCGCACGGGUGCGUAACGCGUGGGAAUCUGCCCUUUGGUUCGGAAUAACGGUUGGAAACGACUGCUAAUACCGGAUGAUGACGAAAGUCCAAAGAUUUAUCGCCAGAGGAUGAGCCCGCGUAGGAUUAGCUAGUUGGUGUGGUAAAGGCGCACCAAGGCGACGAUCCUUAGCUGGUCUGAGAGGAUGAUCAGCCACACUGGGACUGAGACACGGCCCAGACUCCUACGGGAGGCAGCAGUGGGGAAUAUUGGACAAUGGGCGAAAGCCUGAUCCAGCAAUGCCGCGUGAGUGAUGAAGGCCUUAGGGUUAAAGCUCUUUUACCCGGGAUGAUAAUGACAGUACCGGGAGAAUGAGCUCCGGCUAACUCCGUGCCAGCAGCCGCCGCCG